This 1319-nucleotide long non-coding RNA is filed under the name Triticum aestivum (bread wheat). Its description in RNAcentral is "long non-coding RNA (TAES_LNC013344)". The record is from RNAcentral. Lineage: Eukaryota; Viridiplantae; Streptophyta; Magnoliopsida; Poales; Poaceae.
AAGAGACCAAAAAGAUUUGAUGUUUGCUGUGAGGUGGUAAAGAAAAAUAGCUACGCACUAAGACAACAACAUGUGUGUACUAGUAGUAGCACGUACAUGCUGGAGCUACUAGAUUAGUAUGUACAUGGUUGUUAAGAUGAUGCUGCAUGCAUAACUUAAAAAGGGAGAUGAUUAGUACGUACUUGUAGCAAGCAUCCCAGCUAGCUAGUACAUUUUAGUCUGCAUCCAUUUUAGUCCAUUUUAGUCUGCAUCCGUUUUAGUCCAUUUUAGUCUGUAUCCAUUUUAGGUUAUUUUAGUAAACAAAAAAAUUAGGCAAAAUGAGAAUACAGAGGAGAAAUGAAAUAGCCUACACCCAUUUUAAUCCAGUAGCAAUUUUGCCAAAGGUGACCGUUGCAAACAUUUUAUCAUGUUACAAGCACAUUAUUUGAACGAGCGCUUUUAUUGUUGGUGGCUUAUUUGUAAGCCCAACAAGUUGGGUGAUUUUCUUCAUGGGUGGGUCAUAACCUCAAGCUUUAGGUUACUAUAAACAAGUUUGGAACGACAAAAAUAUCAUUUUUUUACUGUUUUGUUACUAGCCUGAUUCAAAUCCUUUUCAUCUCCAAUGAACGAGCUUUGUACAACAUCAGCCUUGAUUCAAACUCCAUGUACUGAAUAGGUUCAUAGCGUGCACUGCUUUAGCCAACACCCAAUAGCAAGGCAAACAAAGAAGGUCUUAGAACACUUGUCCUUAUAUGAUGUAAAGAUUGCAUUUUUAUUGGGCUAUCUUGUCCUUCCAGUACUAGUUUCAUGUUUAUGUUACAACAACUUUAUUGUGCUACGAGAGCUCUGUUUUAAGUUUCCGGUCUGCUGCAGGUUUACCAAAGAUACACUGGUUGAUGGAGGUCUGGGUGAUCUACAAGCUUAUGAGGAUUUGGAUGAUCUAAAAACUUCUGAAGGCUUGGAUGACCUACAAGCUACUGAAUGUUUGCAAGACCAACAAUUAAGUUGGUGGAGUGAUUAUGUAAUGUGCCUUGUUUGUUGAACCUGGUGACAUUGGCAGGUUGUGCUCAUCUUGGUGGUUGUUUAGGCACAUAAGCAGCCACUAUAUGCUCUUUUUGGUUGGGUGACACACCUAGAAACAUAUAUACUUCUCUCCUUGAUGCACCACUUAUAAUUUUAUUGUGAGGCACACCUAUAAACAUAUAUGUGCUCCUUUUGGGGCACAACCUGUAUAUAUAUGGUUGUUAUGUUUAUUAAAUGAAGUUUAAGGUUUUCGAUGAGGCCUAUAUGUUACUUUAAAGUGUAUGUAUAAAUUGUGUGAUCUGGCCUGAGUGCUUGAA